AUGCACUUUACACAAACUGUAACAACAAAGAAAUGCGAGACAGAUACAAAGAACAAGAAUCAAAGUUUAUCACAAAAAAACCAGUUCAAAGAACAGCAAAGAAUCGGGAAAAAAUCUUAUGCCAUAAGAACUCCGCUGACCACUGACUCCUAUCAGUGGUGCCGCUCAAAAACCUUCGAAUUGCAAACCGCGUCCGACACGACCACCACCACCUUUGACAGAUUGCUGGCGAACUUGAAGCAGCGGUUCACCGUAUAUCCAUAUCAGAUCUCCACCACUCAGUUUCCUCUUUACACUUAUUUUCAUACGAUUCAUGUUUAA
Vicia faba (fava bean) is the source of this 321-nucleotide non-coding RNA. NCBI's taxonomy places the organism in Eukaryota, Viridiplantae, Streptophyta, Magnoliopsida, Fabales, Fabaceae. The record is from the annotation of a GenBank genome assembly.